AUGGCACGCGCCGCCGCGGCGGGGCUGGCCCUGCUCCUGCUCGCCGUCGCGGCCGUCGCCUCGGCCGCCGACAUGUCGAUCAUCGCCUACAACGCGGAGCACGGGGCGCGCGGGCUGGAGCGCACGGAGGCGGAGGCCCGGGCCGUCUACGACCUCUGGCUGGCCGAGCACGGCGGCGGGUCCUACCCCAACGCCAACUCCAUCCCGGAGCGCGAGCGCCGGUUCCGGGCCUUCUGGGACAACCUCCGCUUCGUCGACGCCCACAACGCGCGCGCCGCGGCCGGCGAGGAGGGCUUCCGCCUCGCCAUGAACCGCUUCGCCGAUCUCACCAACGACGAGUUCCGCGCCGCCUACCUCGGGGUCAAGGGCCAGAGGGCGAGGCCCGGCCGCGUCGUCGGGGAGCGGUACCGCCACGACGGGGCCGAGGAGCUGCCCGAGGCCGUCGACUGGAGGGAGAAGGGCGCCGUCGCCCCCGUCAAGAACCAGGGCCAAUGCGGGAGUUGCUGGGCUUUUUCUGCGAUCAGCACAGUAGAGAGCAUCAACCAAAUUGUCACCGGUGAGAUGGUGACAUUAUCGGAGCAAGAGCUUGUGGAGUGUGACACCAACGGGCAGAGCAGUGGCUGCAAUGGGGGUCUUAUGGAUGACGCCUUUGAGUUCAUCAUAAAGAACGGUGGCAUUGAUACUGAAGAUGACUACCCUUACAAGGCUAUUGAUGGCAGAUGUGAUGUUCUCAGGAAAAAUGCCAAGGUGGUUAGCAUUGAUGGCUUCGAAGAUGUCCCUGAAAAUGACGAGAAAUCGCUGCAGAAGGCUGUUGCUCACCAGCCCGUGAGUGUUGCCAUUGAAGCUGGAGGCCGGGAGUUCCAGCUCUACCACUCGGGUGUCUUCAGUGGAAGGUGUGGCACGCAACUCGACCACGGUGUGGUUGCUGUUGGCUACGGCACCGAAAACGGCAAGGACUACUGGAUCGUCCGCAACUCAUGGGGUCCAAACUGGGGAGAGGCUGGGUACCUCCGCAUGGAGCGCAACAUCAACGUGACCAGUGGGAAGUGCGGGAUAGCCAUGAUGUCAUCGUACCCCACCAAGAAGGGCGCCAACCCGCCCAAGCCAGCCCCGACACCUCCCUCACCGCCGACGCCGCCUCCCCCAGUCGCCCCUGACCACGUCUGCGACGAGAACUUCUCAUGCCCUGCAGGCAGCACGUGCUGCUGCUCGUUCGGCUUCAGGAACCUUUGCCUGGUGUGGGGCUGCUGCCCGGCUGAAGGCGCCACCUGCUGCAAGGAUCACUCCAGCUGCUGCCCACCGGACUACCCCGUCUGCAAUGUCAGGGCUGGGACCUGCUCAGCGACCAAGAACAGCCCGCUGAGCGUGAAGGCCCUGAAGCGCACCCUGGCCAUGCGAAACACCGCAUGA
This 1410-nucleotide ribosomal RNA is filed under the name Triticum aestivum (bread wheat). RNAcentral describes it as "partial small subunit ribosomal RNA". The record is from RNAcentral. Lineage: Eukaryota; Viridiplantae; Streptophyta; Magnoliopsida; Poales; Poaceae.